RNAcentral lists this ribosomal RNA (372 nucleotides) under Deroplatys truncata. RNAcentral describes it as "partial 12S ribosomal RNA". The record is from RNAcentral. Lineage: Eukaryota; Metazoa; Arthropoda; Insecta; Mantodea; Mantidae.
AUACCCUAUUAUUUUUAUGGUAAAUUAAUAAACUAAAGUAUUAAUAGAUAUGAUCUUAAAACUUAAAGAAUUUGACGGUAUUAUAAUCUAUUUAGAGGAGUCUGUUAUUUAAUUGAUAAUCCGCAUUGAACCUUACUUAUCCUAUGUUUUUGUAUACCGCUGUUUGAGAAUAUAUUUUUAGAUGAUUUUCUGAAUAUGAAAAUAUAUAAUAUUUCAAGUCAAGGUGCAGUGGUGGGUAAGUUUAAUAAUGGACUACAAUAAAUUGUAUUUAUUAUGGAUAAUUAUUGGAAAGUAAUUUAAAGGUGGAUUUAAUUGUAAUUUUAUGAAGUUUGUUAAAAUGAUUUAUAGUUCUAUAAUAUGUACACAUCGCCC